AUGGGCGAAAGCCUGAUCCAGCAAUGCCGCGUGCAGGAUGAAGGCCUUCGGGUUGUAAACUGCUUUUGUACGGAACGAAAAAGCUCCUUCUAAUACAGGGGGCCCAUGACGGUACCGUAAGAAUAAGCACCGGCUAACUACGUGCCAGCAGCCGCGGUAAUACGUANGGGUGCGAGCGUUAAUCGGAAUUACUGGGCGUAAAGCGUGCGCAGGCGGUUAUGUAAGACAGAUGUGAAAUCCCCGGGCUCAACCUGGGAACUGCAUUGUGUGACUGCAUGGCUAGAGUACGGUAGAGGGGGAUGGAAUUCCGCGUGUAGCAGUGAAAUGCGUAGAUAUGCGGAGGAACACCGAUGGCGAAGGCAAUCCCCUGGACCUGUACUGACGCUCAUGCACGAAAGCGUGGGGAGCAAACAGGAUUAGAUACCCUGGUAGUCCACGCCCUAAACGAUGUCAACUGGUUGUUGGGAAUUAGUNUUCUCAGUAACGAAGCUAACGCGUGAAGUUGACCGCCUGGGGAGUA
This 520-nucleotide ribosomal RNA is filed under the name bacterium E-1-48-2G. Its description in RNAcentral is "bacterial SSU rRNA". It matches the Rfam family "Bacterial small subunit ribosomal RNA", at positions 371 to 882 of the family's 1533-position model. The record is from RNAcentral.